This 77-nucleotide transfer RNA is filed under the name Patescibacteria group bacterium. Its description in RNAcentral is "tRNA-Gly". It matches the Rfam family "tRNA". Rfam says of the family: Transfer RNA (tRNA) molecules are approximately 80 nucleotides in length. Their secondary structure includes four short double-helical elements and three loops (D, anti-codon, and T loops). Further hydrogen bonds mediate the characteristic L-shaped molecular structure. tRNAs have two regions of fundamental functional importance: the anti-codon, which is responsible for specific mRNA codon recognition, and the 3' end, to which the tRNAs corresponding amino acid is attached (by aminoacyl-tRNA synthetases). tRNAs cope with the degeneracy of the genetic code in two manners: having more than one tRNA (with a specific anti-codon) for a particular amino acid; and 'wobble' base-pairing, i.e. permitting non-standard base-pairing at the 3rd anti-codon position. The record is from RNAcentral.
GCGGGGGUAGUUCAAUUGGUUAGAAUGUCUGUUUUCCAAACAGAGGGUUGCGGGUUCGAGCCCCGUCCCCCGCUCCA